RNAcentral lists this transfer RNA (75 nucleotides) under Marmota monax (woodchuck). Its description in RNAcentral is "tRNA.Ser". The record is from RNAcentral. Lineage: Eukaryota; Metazoa; Chordata; Mammalia; Rodentia; Sciuridae.
GUGGGGGAUAUAGCUCAGUUGGUAGAGUGCUUACCUCGAAUGUACAAGGCCUGGGGUUCAAUUACCAGCACCACA